Mustela putorius furo (domestic ferret) is the source of this 107-nucleotide small nuclear RNA. The record is from Ensembl. Lineage: Eukaryota; Metazoa; Chordata; Mammalia; Carnivora; Mustelidae.
GGGUUCAUUUCAGCAGCACAUAUACUGAAAUUGGAAUGAAACAGAGGAGAUUAGCAUGGACCCUGCACAAGGAUGACACACAAAUUCAUGAAGCCUCAUGGUUCUGA